CAAUAGCGUAUAUUAAAGUUGUUGCGGUUAAAAAGACUCGUAGUUUGAUUUCUGCUGAGGACGACCAGUCCGCCCUCUGGGUGAGUAUCUGGCUUGGCCUUGGCGUCUUCUUGGAGAACGUAGCUGCACUUGAUUGUGUGGUGUGGCAUCCAGGAAUUUUAACUUUGAGGAAAUUAGAGUGUUUCAAGCAGGCACACGCCUUGAAUACAUUAGCAUGGAAUAAUAUGAUAGGACCUUGGUUCUAUUUGUUGGUUUCUAGAGCUGAGGUAAUGGAUUAAUGGGAUAGUUGGGGGCAUUGGUAGUUGGCUGUCAGAGGUGAAAUUCUCAGACCAGCGGAAGACGAACCACUGCGAAAGCAUUUGCCAGGGAGUGUUUUCACUGAUCAAGAACGAAAGUUAGGGGAUCGAAGAGU
This 412-nucleotide ribosomal RNA is filed under the name uncultured eukaryote. RNAcentral's name for it is "bacterial SSU rRNA". It matches the Rfam family "Eukaryotic small subunit ribosomal RNA", at positions 592 to 1006 of the family's 1831-position model. The record is from RNAcentral.